UUUUAUGGAGAGUUUGAUCCUGGCUCAGGAUGAACGCUGGCGGCGUGCCUAAUACAUGCAAGUCGAGCGAACGGAUGAGAAGCUUGCUUCUCUGAUGUUAGCGGCGGACGGGUGAGUAACACGUGGAUAACCUACCUAUAAGACUGGGAUAACUUCGGGAAACCGGAGCUAAUACCGGAUAAUAUUUUGAGCCGCAUGGUUCAAAAGUGA
Molecule: ribosomal RNA, 210 nt
Filed under: Staphylococcus aureus
Lineage: Bacteria; Bacillati; Bacillota; Bacilli; Caryophanales; Staphylococcaceae
Description: partial 16S ribosomal RNA
Rfam family: Bacterial small subunit ribosomal RNA
Source: RNAcentral